UUUGGUGUGGCAGAGCCAGGCAAAUGCAAAAGACCUAAAACCUUUAAUCAGACGUCCAAAUCGUCUCACCAAUA
Molecule: transfer RNA, 74 nt
Filed under: Phrynocephalus frontalis
Lineage: Eukaryota; Metazoa; Chordata; Lepidosauria; Squamata; Agamidae
Also listed under: 5 other names
Description: tRNA-Leu
Rfam family: tRNA
About the family: Transfer RNA (tRNA) molecules are approximately 80 nucleotides in length. Their secondary structure includes four short double-helical elements and three loops (D, anti-codon, and T loops).
Source: RNAcentral